UGUUUUUCGAGGAAUUAUUGAUGUUUUUACAUUUCUACUGCGCAUCAAAGUAGAAAAGUGCAUAAAUUACGUGGAUAAAUAUCUGAAAUGUAAGUCUUGAACUCCCGAAUAAGGGUUGCACGGUUGCACAUGUUCAAGCAAUAUGUUCAAAGCAUCGAUAUUUUUCGCCAAAAACAUCGGAAACAUCGUUUGUCGGCCAACAAAAUAAUCCAAAUUUUGAAUGUUGUGCAUAUGGUAUACCGAUCAAAUUACAAAAAAGUAAAAUCGAAGAAAUAUCAAAACAUUUUUCAAAAGUGUGGGCGUGGCACUUUUGGGCGGCAUUAGAGUAGGCCCUGCGACUAUGUGUCCGGAAGCUGCAUGCUUAAUCUCAACAGUCUUGCUUUUAUGGUUCCAUGUCAGAUGGACAUGGACAGUUCGACUCCGCUAUUGAUCCUGAUCAAGACUACAUACAUACAUACUUUUAAACGUUUUACUCUAAAAGUAAAAACUAUCAACUUUAUCCAUAAUUACAAAAUUGUAUUUUAUUCAUUAAUUGUUGGUACUACAGUACACCAAGUACUUUUUGAAUUAUGUUCUGUUCGGCAAUUAGCCCGUUUACGAAGAGUAAAAGUUGCAAUAAAUUAGAUUGUUCAAAUUCA
Molecule: long non-coding RNA, 638 nt
Organism: Drosophila sechellia
Lineage: Eukaryota; Metazoa; Arthropoda; Insecta; Diptera; Drosophilidae
Exons: 2
Source: RefSeq, a predicted model, not a curated record